AUUCUUGCGUAAGGGCAGUAUCAUAAGCAAUGAGGGCAACCGAGCUGUGAUUAUUGCUAGUUGAAAACUUUAACCAAUACCCCGCCAUGGGGACGUGAAAUACCGUCCACUACGGCAAUUUUUGAAAGUCCGAGAGGAC
RNAcentral lists this small nuclear RNA (139 nucleotides) under Megaselia scalaris. Its description in RNAcentral is "U4 spliceosomal RNA". It matches the Rfam family "U4 spliceosomal RNA". From Rfam's summary of the family: U4 small nuclear RNA (U4 snRNA) is a component of the major U2-dependent spliceosome. The structure of U4 snRNA from yeast and human has been reported. Lineage: Eukaryota; Metazoa; Arthropoda; Insecta; Diptera; Phoridae. The record is from Rfam by way of RNAcentral.